RNAcentral lists this unclassified non-coding RNA (300 nucleotides) under fungal sp. Its description in RNAcentral is "partial internal transcribed spacer region". The stretch from base 1 to 46 matches the Rfam family "Eukaryotic small subunit ribosomal RNA", at positions 1786 to 1831 of the family's 1831-position model. Lineage: Eukaryota; Fungi. The record is from RNAcentral.
AAGUCGUAACAAGGUUUCCGUAGGUGAACCUGCGGAAGGAUCAUUAACACAUUGUCCAUUUGAUGAUAGUGAUUGUCUUUUAUUCUGAGUGUCAUAAUUCGGAUGAAGCAGUCCUAUCAUUCAAACCACUUAGCGAAUGAGUUGAAGUCCUCAUUAUUAAUUAACUUUAAUAAUUUAGUGGAAUAAAACUAUGUAAUCACGUUUAAUGAAUUUAGAAAUAAAUUCAUUCGACUAAUGUUUACUUUAAAAAAACAAAAUAUAACCAAGACAACUUGUAACAGUGGAUACCUUGGUUCCCAG